CUCACGCGAUGCGCACCAUCAGCGGUCCACACGACCAUACAAAUGGGGCAGCUGGGAAGGCAUGGGUCCUCCGCCUCGGCUUCACUCUCCGCCGCCUUAUACUUGCUGGCAGAGCCGCCCGGGCUCCUCGCACCGUCACCGGAUCCCUCGCUCCCCUCCUCCUCCUCAUCGCUCCCUUCCUCACUCGAGCCGGACGAGCUCACUUGUACAGCCGUGGGAGCAGCCACCUCUGGGGCCGGCCGCGGCCGCCUGCCCCGGGAGCCCGACCGUGACGGCAUUGGGGUGGCCGUCUGGCCGAGCUUCGCCGCGACCGGAUUGGACUAUUGGAGAGCGGCAGAAUGAACUGGAUUGGGAAAAGAAAUUUCAG
This 367-nucleotide unclassified non-coding RNA is filed under the name Zea mays. RNAcentral describes it as "misc RNA Zm00001eb394000". Lineage: Eukaryota; Viridiplantae; Streptophyta; Magnoliopsida; Poales; Poaceae. The record is from RNAcentral.